This 359-nucleotide ribosomal RNA is filed under the name Salmonella enterica subsp. arizonae serovar 41:z4,z23:-. Its description in RNAcentral is "partial 23S ribosomal RNA". It matches the Rfam family "Bacterial large subunit ribosomal RNA", at positions 462 to 722 of the family's 2925-position model. Lineage: Bacteria; Pseudomonadati; Pseudomonadota; Gammaproteobacteria; Enterobacterales; Enterobacteriaceae. The record is from RNAcentral.
AAGGCUAAAUACUCCUGACUGACCGAUAGUGAACCAGUACCGUGAGGGAAAGGCGAAAAGAACCCCGGCGAGGGGAGUGAAACAGAACCUGAAACCGUGUACGUACAAGCAGUGGGAGCCCCACCACUAAGCCAGUGGUGAACUCCACAUACGCAUCCUUUGCUGAGGAUACGGUUAACGGAGCGCAAGCGACGUUCAACCGCAAAAGAAGCAGAGGGGGCUUAGUGGUGGGGUGACUGCGUACCUUUUGUAUAAUGGGUCAGCGACUUAUAUUCUGUAGCAAGGUUAACCGAAUAGGGGAGCCGGAGGGAAACCGAGUCUUAACCGGGCGUUAAGUUGCAGGGUAUAGACCCGAAACC